Molecule: long non-coding RNA, 1453 nt
Organism: Zalophus californianus (California sea lion)
Lineage: Eukaryota; Metazoa; Chordata; Mammalia; Carnivora; Otariidae
Exons: 3
Source: RefSeq, a predicted model, not a curated record
GGUCCCAGGGGAGAGUGGGUGUUGUGGAGCAGCGAGGACUGCACGUACUGCACAACCAGCAAAGUCUCCAAGGGCAAUGGGCAUUUCUGGGAUGACUUGGAGAGCGCUGCCCAAAGGCAUCAGCAUUGGACACUCCCACCUCAGAAGACUUCCUCUGCAGUAAAGAGUUAGCCAACACCUUCUCAUGAUAUGCAGAAUAUGUAGAAUGAGAAUUGGAAGUAAAGAAGCCACCAGCUGAAUGCAGGUCCCGUGAGAACCGUGUCCCCAUGAGUCCUUUCCCUCUGGAGGAGGGAAGUGAAUGAACUCUGCUCUUCCUUUUUUCUCAUUCAACCAACACAAGGAAGUAACUACAGAAAAAUCAAAAUCAAAAGCCACAGAGCUCUCCGUCUGGGCAAAAUGAUUGGGAGGAAUAGAAGAAAGAAGGAGAGAAAGAGGUUCAACUCUAAGACAUCCUAAACUAGACCUUGGACCAGGAAUCAUAAGCUCUCUGGGUCAAAGGGCAGCAGGUCGGCCAGAACCAGCGACAUGCGGUCGGCCCAUCCUCCUAGAGCGGCAUCGGAACUGCGCUGGCGGGCCUCGUGAGCACUGCUCCGCAGCAUCCCCUCUGCCUUGGUUCCGCGUGCGCAAAACGGGAGUCAGGGGAUCGCGGGUCGUCUGAGGCGCCGGCAAGGGCCGCCGGGCUGCGGAGGAAAGGCGCGGGCACACGUCUCCCAGGGCGCCUGCACGCUCUGACUGUUGACGAUCGGCGCGCAGUACUGGAGGAGGCCGACGCACCUAACCCUAACGCUGGGCAGCGGGGAAGUGGCGGGAGCCUGGCCGGAAAGCUGCCUCUGCCCCGCCCUCCCUGCGUCUCUCUGGUUCGGAUCCGCUAAGUCGCGCCUGCCCCGGAAGCCCCGUGGGGUGACCUUUUCGGAGAAAGCUUUCCACGUGGCAGAGUAGAAUUUUGACUUAUUUUACCCUCUGGAAAGUUGAGGAGUUGUUUAAAUGGGGGAGGGAGGUAAAAGGUGGAAGAGAUUAUUGCAUUUCGCCUUCUUUGUGUGGUCUUUCCAGCCUCUGAGGGGGACCGGCAGGUGCCGCCUCUAAAUAUGGCACCUUGGCAUGAGCAUUAUUUGGAGCUAAAGUUAGCUGAGAAUCACCAGGUGGAGAGAGAAUUCUCCGCCCUGCCCCUGUGCACCUAGGAGCAGGGAAUAAAUUUCCUUGCGUGACGGUGUGCUUUUGUAUCAGGAAGAAUGACUCUUAUCGGAGACCAAGUAGGCACCCCAGAGAAGUCUGCAUAAGCAAGCUUGCCUAAAUGUCCCUUACCUUUCACCAGUUCCUCCAUGUAGUUCCUAGUUAUGUCCCUUGAAACCGAAAACCUCUUUCCUUUAAGAAAGUUACAUAAGCUCCUGGGUCUAACUUCGUGCAAUUUCGCUUCUUUUCCGUGUACUCCCCUGUGUGCAAAAUUUGAAUAAAA